CCGGUCGUGGCGGAGGGUGAGUACGCGUGGGCAACCUGCCCCUGACCGGGGGAUAGCCUCUGGAAACCGCGAUUAAAACCUCAUAAUGCCAUUGCUCACAUUUCUUGGUGGCCAAAGAUUUAUCUGUCAGGGAUGGGCCUGCGUCUGAUUAGCCAGUUGGUGGGGUAACGGCCCACCAAAGCGACGAUCAGUAGCCGGCCUGAGAGGGUGAUCGGCCACAUUGGAACUGAGACACGGUCCAAACUCCUACGGGAGGCAGCAGUGGGGAAUAUUGCACAAUGGGGGAAAGCCUGAUGCAGCAACGCCGCGUGAGUGAAGAAGGCCUUCGGGUCGUAAAGCUCUGUCCUUGGGGAAGAAAAGAAUGACAGUGCCCUAGGAAGAAGCCCCAGCAAAAUACCCCCCCUCAUUCGGGGGUAAUACGACGCGGUAAUACGA
Molecule: ribosomal RNA, 435 nt
Filed under: uncultured Eubacteriales bacterium
Lineage: Bacteria; Bacillati; Bacillota; Clostridia; Eubacteriales
Description: bacterial SSU rRNA
Rfam family: Bacterial small subunit ribosomal RNA
Source: RNAcentral